AAUGCAGGAUACAGUUAAAUUUGAAUUUCAGAUAAACAAACAAAAAAAUUUUUGGUAUAAGUAUUCCCUUGCAAUAUUUGGGACAUACUUAUGCUAAAAAAAUAAUUGUUUAUCUGAAAUUCAAAUUUAACUGGGCAUCUUAUGUUUU
This 148-nucleotide microRNA precursor is filed under the name Loxodonta africana (African savanna elephant). RNAcentral describes it as "miRNA (ENSLAFG00000026308.1)". The record is from RNAcentral. Lineage: Eukaryota; Metazoa; Chordata; Mammalia; Proboscidea; Elephantidae.